CCAAUCGAACUCGGAGAUAGCUGGUUCUCCCCGAAAUAGCUUUAGGGCUAGCCUCGAUUUAGAUUACCGGGGGUAGAGCACUGAAUGGGCUAGGGGGCCACAAAGCUUACCGAACCCUAUCAAACUUCGAAUACCGGAUAAUUGAUGAUCGGGAGUCAGACAGUGUGAGAUAAGUUUCAUUGUCGAAAGGGAAACAGCCCAGAUCUACGACUAAGGUCCCAAAGUUCAAGUUAAGUGGAAAAGGAUGUGCAAUUGCGUAGACAACCAGGAUGUUGGCUUAGUAGCAGCCAUUCAUUCAAAGAGUGCGUAAUAGCUCACUGGUCGAGUGAUUGUGCGCCGAAAAUGUAACGGGGCUAAACUUGACACCGAAGUCUAGGCAGAAGGAAACUUCUGGGUAGGGGAGCAACGUGUACGGGCAGAAGCAGAAGCGGAAGCGACUGUGGACUGUACAGGAGAGAGAAUGCCGGCAUGAGUAGCGAGAGCAAAGUGAGAAUCUUUGCCGUCGAAAGCCUAAGGUUUCCUGAGGAAGGCUCGUCCUCUCAGGGUAAGUCGGGACCUAAGCCGAGGACAAUAGUCGUAGGCGAUGGACAAUCGGUUAAUAUUCCGAUACCGCCGAGCAACCGGAUGCAGUGACACAGAAGGAUAGGCAGAGCGUGGCGAUGGUAGACCACGUCCAAGCAGUGAGGCUGUUGUGUAGUGAAGUACGCACAACGGAAGGCUGGGCUGUGAUGGGGAACGAUUACGAUCGGUAAGCUGCUGAAUUCACGCUGGCGAGAAAAGCUGCUACGAAGCGAAGGCGCCCGUACCGCAAACCGACACAGGUAGGCGAGGAGAGAAUCCUAAGACGAGCGGGAGAACCCUUGUUAAGGAACUCGGCAAAAUGACUCCGUAACUUAGGGAGAAGGAGUGCCCAGGAAUGGGCCGCAGAGAAUAGACCCAAGCGACUGUUUACCAAAAACACAGGUCUGUGCGAAGUAGAGAUACGACGUAUACGGGCUGACACCUGCCCAGUGCCGGAAGGUUAAGGGGAAAUGUUAGGGCAACCGAAGCAUGGAACUUAAGCCCCGGUGAACGGCGGCCGUAACUAUAACGGUCCUAAGGUAGCGAAAUUCCUUGUCGGGUAAGUUCCGACCCGCACGAAUGGUGUAACGAUUUGGGUACUGUCUCAACAAGGGACCCGGCGAAAUUGUAGUAUGUGUGAAGAUGCACAUUACCCGCGAUAGGACGGAAAGACCCCGUAGAGCUUUACUGUAGUCUGAUAUUGGAUUUCGGUGAUUUAUGUACAGGAUAGGUGGCCAGGUGGCGGAUAAGCUGGAACAGUGCGCCCGUCAGAACCGCCUGACCCAUACCAUGUUUCUUACCACACACCAGCGCGGCAUUGCCCAGCAGGUGGUAGUCUGCUGCGGCACGCCCCCGCAUAGGAUAAUGGGGGGCCACCCCGAUGCAGAGCGCUGCCUGUUUCUCUUUCUACCGGACUAUAUGGAUGCGGAUAACAUCCCGGAAGAGGAGCUGCCCUUUGGAGCUAUCCGGGUCAGCUGGGGCCAUGGCGCAGCGCUUACCCAUCGGGACAUCCUGGGCAGCUUGAUGGCACAGGGUGUCCGCAGGGAGGUGCUGGGCGACCUUUUAGUGGGAGAAAACGGCUGCGAUGUCAUUGCCCUGCGGGAGUGCAUUCCCUUCCUGCGGGAUAACUGGCUGAGCGCCGGCCGCACCGGUCUGCACCCGGUGGAGGUUCCCCUUUCGGAGCUGCGCAUUCCAGCUGCCGAUGGAAAGACCAUCCGGGAUACCGUCGCUUCACUGCGGCUGGAUGCCGUUCUUGGAAGCGGUUUUUCCCUCAGCCGGGGGAGAGCCGCGGAGCUCAUCGCCGCCGGGCGGGUCAGCCUGAAUGGCUGCGAGUGCCUAAAGCCUGACCGACAGCUUGCCGAA
Molecule: ribosomal RNA, 1923 nt
Filed under: human gut metagenome
Description: bacterial LSU rRNA
Rfam family: Bacterial large subunit ribosomal RNA (bases 1-1589)
Source: RNAcentral